CUCACUCCCGUAGGCGGCUGCGAGGAGCUGCUACUCUAGGAGUUUUAUAUAACCUCCUUGCUCACUAAGCUUCAUUCUUUUCACAGACCGACAUCCUGGUGUCAACCGGUACUGCCGCGUGGAGAAGCCAGAGAUUAAGCACUGGUUUGAUACUUGGCAUGUUGCUAAAGGUCUGAAAAAAAAGCUCCUGGCUGCUAGCCGCACACAUCAAGUUAUCACACCUUGGAUCCAAAGCAUCCUAAACCACCUCUACUUGGUGGCUGCCAUGGGCCAAGGUGAUGGUGAGCUUGUCAUCAGCAUGUGGAGAAGCCUGCUCAACCACGUCUGCAACAAACACGAUGGCCAUGAUGGGCCCUACAAAAAAUGCCUCCAUGACUCCCUUGACGACAGGGAAUGGUUGAGACCAGCAUCACCUGCAUUUCUUCGUCUCAAAGCCAUUGUCGACAAUGUGAGACUACUGAAAGAUAUCCGCCGGCUC
Molecule: long non-coding RNA, 478 nt
Organism: Dermacentor silvarum
Lineage: Eukaryota; Metazoa; Arthropoda; Arachnida; Ixodida; Ixodidae
Exons: 3
Source: RefSeq, a predicted model, not a curated record